AUUGAACGCUGGCGGCAUGCUUUACACAUGCAAGUCGAACGGUAACAGGCCGCAAGGUGCUGACGAGUGGCGAACGGGUGAGUAAUGCAUCGGAACGUGCCCAGUCGUGGGGGAUAACUACUCGAAAGAGUAGCUAAUACCGCAUACGAUCUAUGGAUGAAAGCGGGGGACCGUAAGGCCUCGCGCGAUUGGAGCGGCCGAUGUCAGAUUAGGUAGUUGGUGGGGUAAAGGCUCACCAAGCCAACGAUCUGUAGCUGGUCUGAGAGGACGACCAGCCACACUGGGACUGAGACACGGCCCAGACUCCUACGGGAGGCAGCAGUGGGGAAUUUUGGACAAUGGGCGCAAGCCUGAUCCAGCAAUGCCACGUGCAGGAAGAAGGCCUUCGGGUUGUAAACUGCUUUUGUACGGAACGAACCGGCUCUGGUUAAUACCCGGGGCUAAUGACGGUACCGUAAGAAUAAGCACCGGCUAACUACGUG
RNAcentral lists this ribosomal RNA (482 nucleotides) under uncultured bacterium. RNAcentral describes it as "partial 16S ribosomal RNA". It matches the Rfam family "Bacterial small subunit ribosomal RNA", at positions 30 to 507 of the family's 1533-position model. The record is from RNAcentral.